GAAGAACGCUGGCGGCGUGCCUAAUACAUGCAAGUCGAGCGAACGGACGAGAAGCUUGCUUCUCUGAUGUUAGCGGCGGACGGGUGAGUAACACGUGGAUAACCUACCUAUAAGACUGGGAUAACUUCGGGAAACCGGAGCUAAUACCGGAUGAUAUUUUGAACCGCAUGGUUCAAAAGUGAAAGACGGUUUUGCUGUCACUUAUAGAUGGAUCCGCGCUGCAUUAGCUAGUUGGUAAGGUAACGGCUUACCAAGGCAACGAUGCAUAGCCGACCUGAGAGGGUGAUCGGCCACACUGGAACUGAGACACGGUCCAGACUCCUACGGGAGGCAGCAGUAGGGAAUCUUCCGCAAUGGGCGAAAGCCUGACGGAGCAACGCCGCGUGAGUGAUGAAGGUCUUCGGAUCGUAAAACUCUGUUAUUAGGGAAGAACAUAUGUGUAAGUAACUAUGCACAUCUUGACGGUACCUAAUCAGAAAGCCACGGCUAACUACGUG
Molecule: ribosomal RNA, 497 nt
Filed under: uncultured bacterium
Lineage: Bacteria
Description: partial 16S ribosomal RNA
Rfam family: Bacterial small subunit ribosomal RNA
Source: RNAcentral